This 950-nucleotide ribosomal RNA is filed under the name uncultured archaeon. RNAcentral describes it as "bacterial SSU rRNA". It matches the Rfam family "Archaeal small subunit ribosomal RNA", at positions 1 to 940 of the family's 1478-position model. The record is from RNAcentral.
UUCCCGGUUGAUCCCGCCGGACCCGACUGCUAUUUGGGUGAGGAUAAGCCAUGCGAGUUGAAUGGGAAACCUAAAGUUCCCAUGGCAAACUGCUCAGUAACACAUGAUCAACUUAACCUAUAGAGAAAAAUAACCUCGGGAAACUGAGGAUAAUGUUUCAUAGUUGAAUUGGCUUGGAAAAGUUUUUCGACGAAAGGGGUAAAAAAAAUGGUUUUUAUCUGCUAUAGGAUAGGAUCGUGUUCGAUUAUGGUUGUUGGUGAGGUAAUGGCUCACCAAGCCGAUAAUCGAUAGGGGCUGUGAGAGCGGGAGCCCCGAGAUGGGUACUGAGACAACGACCCAGGCCUUACGAGGCGCAGCAGGCGCGAAACCUCCGCAAUACACGAAAGUGUGACGGGGUUACCCAAAGUGUUCAAUAGAACUGUGGUAGGUGAGUAAUGUUCCCUACUAGAAAGGAGAGGGCAAGGCUGGUGCCAGCCGCCGCGGUAAAACCAGCUCUUCAAGUGGUCGGGAUAAUUAUUGGGCUUAAAGUGUCCGUAGCCGGUUUAGUAAGUUCCUGGUAAAAUCGGGUAGCUUAACUAUCUAUAUGCUAGGAAUACUACUAUACUAGAGGGCGGGAGAGGUCUGAGGUACUGCAGGGGUGGGGGUGAAAUCUUAUAAUCCUUGUUGGACCACCAGUGGCGAAGGCGUCAGACUGGAACGCGCCUGACGGUGAGGGACGAAAGCCAGGGGAGCGAACCGGAUUAGAUACCCGGGUAGUCCUGGCCGUAAACGAUGCAUACUAGGUGAUGGCACGGCCAUGAGCCGUGUCAGUGCCGUAGGGAAACCGUUAAGUGUGCCGCCUGGGAAGUACGGUCGCAAGGCUAAAACUUAAAGGAAUUGGCGGGGGAGCACCACAAAGGGUGAAGCCUGCGGUUCAAUUGGAUUCAACGCCGGGAAUCACUAGUGCGGCC